Molecule: long non-coding RNA, 424 nt
Filed under: Oryza sativa Indica Group (long-grained rice)
Lineage: Eukaryota; Viridiplantae; Streptophyta; Magnoliopsida; Poales; Poaceae
Description: lncRNA OsZS97_09G001830
Source: RNAcentral
AUGCUACACAACACCGCCCCCAAAACAUUUUCCCCUGUUGGAUGGCGACUUGGGCGCUCCAUCGACUACUGGAUGGCACCAUGCGGCUGCGACACCCCCCACCCCCACACCCCCCCGCCCUGUGGCACCGUCGGCUGCCCCUUUGUCGCCGACAUCCAUCCCAUCGCCGGAUCUAGGAGAGCUUCGCCCGAAUUCUCUUCUGAUUCUUGCGUGUCGGUGGUGGGUGGAGAGCAGCGGUACCAACGACAUUUGAAGCACAGAGGGUGGCAGGAUUCGGAGAGGAGGCUGCGGAUCAGGGGUCCGAUGGGUCGUUCUCCCUCCUCCCUAAAGCGGUGGCGAAGGAUGUCAGUAAAUUGUUGUUGGCGUUGUGCGCGGCAGGUCAGCGCCGCCAAGGAAUACAGGAGGUCCGUGUAGCGGCUGUAGU